Molecule: ribosomal RNA, 468 nt
Filed under: uncultured bacterium
Lineage: Bacteria
Description: partial 16S ribosomal RNA
Rfam family: Bacterial small subunit ribosomal RNA
Source: RNAcentral
GACGAACGCUGGCGGCGUGCUUAACACAUGCAAGUCGAACGGAAAGGCCCUGCUUUUGUGGGGUGCUCGAGUGGCGAACGGGUGAGUAACACGUGAGUAACCUGCCCUUGACUUUGGGAUAACUUCAGGAAACUGGGGCUAAUACCGGAUAGGAGCUCCUGCUGCAUGGUGGGGGUUGGAAAGUUUCGGCGGUUGGGGAUGGACUCGCGGCUUAUCAGCUUGUUGGUGGGGUAGUGGCUUACCAAGGCUUUGACGGGUAGCCGGCCUGAGAGGGUGACCGGCCACAUUGGGACUGAGAUACGGCCCAGACUCCUACGGGAGGCAGCAGUGGGGAAUAUUGCACAGUGGGCGGAAGCCUGAUGCAGCAACGCCGCGUGCGGAAUGACGGCCUUCGGGUUGUAAACCGCUUUCGCCUGUGACGAAGCGUGAGUGACGGUAAUGGGUAAAGAAGCACCGGCUAACUACGUG